This is a non-coding RNA of Notechis scutatus (mainland tiger snake), 906 nucleotides long. NCBI's taxonomy places the organism in Eukaryota, Metazoa, Chordata, Lepidosauria, Squamata, Elapidae. The record is from RefSeq and is a predicted model, not a curated record.
GGACCUGCUCUAUCCUGGUAAAAGUGUAUAAAAAGACAGGCUCCACAGUAUUAAACAACAAGGCAUAUCCUGAGGGUAUCUUAUUACCAUUCUUCAUUCCUGACAGGAGCUUGCAUCAGUAGCUAAUUCUGGGAACUAGAAAGUAGCAAUGAUAAUCAUGCAGUAGAUACAAAUUAUUGUAGGAAGCUAUGUGGGACACGCUAUUAUUAAGUGUCUUCACACUGUGAAAUAAUCUCACUCCAUAGAGCCAUUUUGUAACUCCAGUUAAGUGGUAGUUCAGAGGGACAAACCUUAAUAGGGACAAAAGUACAAUAUUAAGAAUAUUUAAUUUCUUCCAAGUACAAGCACAUUGUUUAAAAAAAACAUCUGGCUUGUAUCAAAUUUCUGUGUAAUAUUUGUGUAAUUAAAGCCAGGGGAAUCAUCUGGAAAAGGUUUAAACAUUUAAAGCCAUUAGACUACUGGUGUCAACAGAUCAAGAUUCAGUUGAUUAGUAAGUUAUAUUGACCUCUAGUCUGGAUGUAGGGUACACAAAGGGUAUUGGAAAUAGUAGCAUGUCAAGCUUACAACACCAUAAGUAGGUACUUCCUCCAGCUUAAAUAUAGUUACUUCAUGGUAAGGCUUCAGACUCAAUUCCAAAAUGAUGUAAAAGCAAUACUUGUAUAUAACUUUUUAAAAUAGUUGCAAUUUUGCCAUUGUCUAUUACUUAUCUCAAUUCAUUUCAAGUUGAUACUGUUUAUGAGUAUCAUGCAAUUUUGAACAUGUAAGUUACCAGUGUUCAAAAACGGUUAAACAAUUUAGAAAUGGUAAGAACUUAAGAGUUAAAAAGACUGUUCUAAAUAUGCUCUUAAAUAAGGAAACAUUUUAUAUGUGAACGAUAAAUUAAAACUUCUACCAGUAUUCCACAAG